AACGUAGGACGCGAGCGUUAUCCGGAGUUACUGGGCGUAAAGCGUGCGCAGGCGGUUCGCUAAGACAGAUGUGAAAUCCCCGGGCUUAACCUGGGAACUGCAUUUGUGACUGGCGGGCUAGAGUAUGGCAGAGGGGGGUAGAAUUCCACGUGUAGCAGUGAAAUGCGUAGAGAUGUGGAGGAAUACCGAUGGCGAAGGCAGCCCCCUGGGCCAAUACUGACGCUCAUGCACGAAAGCGUGGGGAGCAAACAGG
RNAcentral lists this ribosomal RNA (253 nucleotides) under uncultured bacterium. Its description in RNAcentral is "partial 16S ribosomal RNA". It matches the Rfam family "Bacterial small subunit ribosomal RNA", at positions 524 to 776 of the family's 1533-position model. The record is from RNAcentral.